Molecule: small RNA, 29 nt
Filed under: Bombyx mori (domestic silkworm)
Lineage: Eukaryota; Metazoa; Arthropoda; Insecta; Lepidoptera; Bombycidae
Description: ovarian small RNA-13480
Source: RNAcentral
CCACAAGUUGCGGGACGCGGGCCUACCGC